GAACAAACAAAAUUGUGGACAGGCCUAAAUAAGGACAACUAUAGACACGCAAGUUGCCGCUGUCCCCUUGCUUCAAGUAGCUAUUAUAUUAACCCACAUUUCUAAAGCCAAAGAACAUUUUUAAGGUUUCACACUGAUGCAAACAUAGAAUGAUCAGGAGCAUCUGCACAAAUUUACAGCUUUUAAUGGAGCAGGUGACAGGCCAGCAAAGCUCUUUGGCAAUAGCUAAAUAGAAAAUUCAGGAGGUUGAAUACUAUUUUCAAGAAGGAAAGACUUCGUUGCAUUGAGACAUCAAGUCGACCUUUCCAUCUUUCUGGACACAGAGUGUGAAAUUGUGGAAACGUGAAAGAGGCGAGUCUUAAUAUCUGCGAUGGACAUUGUCAUUACUUAGGGUGGGAGACGCUGAAAUGAAAUCUACGGAUCCUUUCCUGGCGGGACAAUGAGCUGCCCAAUGGAAUUGUAACCCUCUCCUAAUCUCCGCGGCAGAAACCAUGCUAAUAAGGGGCUCUCUCGCCCAAACCUGUCACCUUGGAGCGCCACCUUGCCGCUGAAAGGCAAACUGCAAGUCCAGAAGAUCUUGAUGCCGGUGCUAUUUGCAACUCUCUCUCUCUCUCUCUCUCUCUCUCUCUCUCUCUCUCUCUCUCUCUCUCUCUCAUAAUCAAAGAGACCUAAUAGAAUCGGACACUUGAAAGUGCCCCUUUCGCUCGGAGUUGAAGAGACAUUGUAUCUUUCCUGGCUAUCUCCUGUAGUAUCAGAAUGUGUGGGUGUAUGUGUGAAGAAGCUGGGGGGGGGGGAUGGGGGGGAGAGAGAAGAAACGCAAAACCAACCUUGGGUGUACGGUUUCUCAAAGACUUACAAGUUGUAACCUAACCGGCAAUGUUUGAAUUUAAGCUAUACAAUAACGGAUAGAUUUUCACACCUCGCCUAUAAUUUAAAACCCCGGUAUUCAUUCAUUUAUUUAUUUUUUAAAGUUUGGAGGUAACCCAAACGCACCCUUAUGAGUCAAUGGAAAGGAAAGCUAUCGAGUAACGCCGGGGGGGGGGGCGGAAUGCCCAGAGGAAAAUCAAACCAAGGCAGAGACUCAACCGCCAUUGGCGAGGGGAUUAUGUUCAUAUUUUAAUUCUUGGCCACAAUGGCGGACAUUUCAGUUUUUCCCAUACACAGAGGCAGAAACCAAAACGUUUGCCUAAUCAAAUCAAGGGCAAGUUCUAAAUCAGUGAUUAUUCUCUAUCUGCCUGUCGAUCGCAAUCUCUCCCAUACACUUUAGCGAAUAAACUGAGAUAUUUUAAAAACAAUCUGUUUGAGAUAAAUAACAGUAUUUUUAAAACAGUGUCUGAGGGCCAGUACAAACUUGGGAGAAAAUAUAUUUAUGAUCAUCA
Podarcis muralis (Common wall lizard) is the source of this 1379-nucleotide long non-coding RNA. RefSeq lists it as uncharacterized. The record is from RefSeq and is a predicted model, not a curated record. NCBI's taxonomy places the organism in Eukaryota, Metazoa, Chordata, Lepidosauria, Squamata, Lacertidae.